This 468-nucleotide ribosomal RNA is filed under the name uncultured bacterium. Its description in RNAcentral is "partial 16S ribosomal RNA". It matches the Rfam family "Bacterial small subunit ribosomal RNA", at positions 28 to 507 of the family's 1533-position model. The record is from RNAcentral.
GACGAACGCUGGCGGCGUGCUUAACACUUGCAAGUCGAACGGAAAGGCCCUGCUUUUGUGGGGUGCUCGAGUGGCGAACGGGUGAGUAACACGUGAGUAACCUGCCCUUGACUUUGGGAUAACUUCAGGAAACUGGGGCUAAUACCGGAUAGGAGCUCCUGCUGCAUGGUGGGGGUUGGAAAGUUUCGGCGGUUGGGGAUGGACUCGCGGCUUAUCAGCUUGUUGGUGGGGUAGUGGCUUACCAAGGCUUUGACGGGUAGCCGGCCUGAGAGGGUGACCGGCCACAUUGGGACUGAGAUACGGCCCAGACUCCUACGGGAGGCAGCAGUGGGGAAUAUUGCACAAUGGGCGGAAGCCUGAUGCAGCAACGCCGCGUGCGGGAUGACGGCCUUCAGGUUGUAAACCGCUUUCGCCUGUGACGAAGCGUGAGUGACGGUAAUGGGUAAAGAAGCACCGGCUAACUACGUG